UUGUUUCCAGAUGGUUCGUAG
Molecule: unclassified non-coding RNA, 21 nt
Filed under: Mus musculus (house mouse)
Lineage: Eukaryota; Metazoa; Chordata; Mammalia; Rodentia; Muridae
Description: oocyte_clustered_small_RNA5047
Source: RNAcentral